GUUAACUUCUUAGAAAUUGAACGGCAGUGGUGUUCUUAGAUUAUGAAGCUUUGCUUGGUGGAAAGGUAAUUGAUAAUGUCUAAUGCGUAAUGGUCAUAAAUAUCGAUGUUGAUGUAGUCAUGUCCAUGCUUUAAUGUUCUUGGUUCUUACUGGUUUGAAUUUUCUCUAUCUAUUCCUAUCCCAAUUUUUCCAUUUUCAUUUGUUUACGUUCCUUGUUCUUUCAGAAUUUUUCUUAAGCUGUAUGAUUUAAUAUGUUUUUU
Molecule: unclassified non-coding RNA, 260 nt
Filed under: Hevea brasiliensis (rubber tree)
Lineage: Eukaryota; Viridiplantae; Streptophyta; Magnoliopsida; Malpighiales; Euphorbiaceae
Source: RNAcentral